GGCGAACGCUGGCGGCGCGCCUAAUGCAUGCAAGUCGAGCGACGCAUGCCCGGUGGGUAACCACGGGGUAUGACGGAGCGGCGAACGGGUGAGUAACACGUGAGUAACCUGCCCCGAAGAUCGGGAUAGCCCGGGAAACCCGGAUUAAUACCGAAUACCCUCUCUGGAUCGCAUGGUCCGGUGAGGAAAAGCCUUUGUGCUUCGGGAUGGACUCGCGGCCUAUCAGCUAGUUGGUGAGGUAACGGCUCACCAAGGCAACGACGGGUAGCUGGUCUGAGAGGACGAUCAGCCACACUGGGACUGAGACACGGCCCAGACUCCUACGGGAGGCAGCAGCAGGGAAUCUUGUCCAAUGGGCGAAAGCCUGAGACAGCGACGCCGCGUGAGGGAUGAAGGCCUUCGGGUUGUAAACCUCUUUCAGGAGGGACGAAAUUGACGGUACCUCCAGAAGAAGCCCCGGCAACUACGUG
This 470-nucleotide ribosomal RNA is filed under the name uncultured bacterium. RNAcentral describes it as "bacterial SSU rRNA". It matches the Rfam family "Bacterial small subunit ribosomal RNA", at positions 28 to 507 of the family's 1533-position model. The record is from RNAcentral.